UACGUAGGGUGCAGGCGUUAAUCGGAAUUACUGGGCGUAAAGCGUGCGCAGGCGGUUUGUUAAGACAGGUGUGAAAUCCCCGGGCUUAACCUGGGAACUGCGCUUGUUACUGGCAGACUUGAGUGUGGCAGAGGGGGGUGGAAUUCCACGUGUAGCAGUGAAAUGCGUAGAGAUGUGGAGGAACACCAAUGGCGAAGGCAGCCCCCUGGGUCGAUACUGA
Molecule: ribosomal RNA, 220 nt
Filed under: uncultured prokaryote
Description: partial 16S ribosomal RNA
Rfam family: Bacterial small subunit ribosomal RNA
Source: RNAcentral